RNAcentral lists this ribosomal RNA (479 nucleotides) under uncultured Candidatus Saccharibacteria bacterium. RNAcentral's name for it is "bacterial SSU rRNA". It matches the Rfam family "Bacterial small subunit ribosomal RNA", at positions 349 to 843 of the family's 1533-position model. Lineage: Bacteria; Candidatus Saccharimonadota. The record is from RNAcentral.
CAGCAGUAGGGAAUCUUCCACAAUGGGCGAAAGCCUGAUGGAGCAACGCCGCGUGCAGGAUGAAUGCCUUCGGGAUGUAAACUGCUUUUAUAUGUGAAGAUUAUGACGGUAGCAUAUGAAUAAGGAUCGGCUAACUCCGUGCCAGCAGCCGCGGUCAUACGGAGGAUCCAAGCGUUAUCCGGAAUUACUGGGCGUAAAGAGUUGCGUAGGUGGCAUAGUAAGCGGACAGUGAAAUCGCGUGGCUCAACCAUGUAAACAUUGUCUGAACUACUAAGCUAGAGGACGAGAGAGGUACCUGGAAUUCCCAGUGUAGGAGUGAAAUCCGUAGAUAUUGGGAGGAACACCGAUGGCGUAGGCAGGGUACUGGCUUGUUCCUGACACUAAGGCACGAAAGCGUGGGUAGCAAACGGGAUUAGAUACCCCGGUAGUCCACGCCGUAAACUAUGAAUGCUGGCCGUUAUCGGUAUCGACCCAGAUAG